GGGUUUCAAAUGUCAGGUGCAUGAUGCUUGCUGGCCAAUAUAGACACCCAGGAGGUGAGAACAAAUUCAACAAACAAGAAACAAAACAAAAACAUUUUAUAUAAAGCAUUUUAUAUUUUAACAUUUGUGCAUAUGUAUUCAAUUAAAAUGCCUCUUUCCCCUGCUUUCCAAGAUGAUCACAGGAAGCCCUUUUGCUGAAAGUAAGAGAUGUCGAAAUCGAACUCUGGCACUCUUUUGGUCCUUAGAGGAGGCCACCCAUCGGACUUUGGCUGAAUACUCGUCAAAGGCUACGUCAAACGGCAGAAUUU
Non-coding RNA from Paramuricea clavata, 308 nucleotides. The record is from the annotation of a GenBank genome assembly. Lineage: Eukaryota; Metazoa; Cnidaria; Anthozoa; Malacalcyonacea; Plexauridae.